RNAcentral lists this ribosomal RNA (435 nucleotides) under uncultured Saccharofermentans sp. RNAcentral's name for it is "partial 16S ribosomal RNA". It matches the Rfam family "Bacterial small subunit ribosomal RNA", at positions 341 to 792 of the family's 1533-position model. Lineage: Bacteria; Bacillati; Bacillota; Clostridia; Eubacteriales; Oscillospiraceae. The record is from RNAcentral.
ACGGAAGGCAGCAGUGGGGAAUAUUGGGCAAUGGGCGAAAGCCUGACCCAGCAACGCCGCGUGAAGGAUGACGGUCUUCGGAUUGUAAACUUCUUUAAUUGGGGAAGAAUAAAUGACCUACCCAAAGAAUAAGUCCCGGCUAACUACGUGCCAGCAGCCGCGGUAAUACGUAGGUGACAAGCGUUAUCCGGAUUUACUGGGCGUAAAGGGCGUGUAGGCGGUUUGGCAAGUCAGAAGUGAAAUUCCUGGGCGCAACUCGGGCGCUGCUUCUGAAACUGCUAGGCUUGAGUGCUGGAGAGGAAAGCGGAAUUCCUAGUGGAGCGGUAAAAUGCGCAGAUAUUAGGAAGAACACCGGUGGCGAAGGCGGCUAUCUGGACAGUAACUGACGCUGAGGCGCGAAAGCGUGGGGAGCAAACAGGAUUAGAUACCCUGGUA